UGCAAAUCUGAAAUCCUUACCAGAGCGGCUAUGCCAUCUCUCCGCUCUUCGCAUUUUAAUUAUACGCAAUUGUGGAAGUCUCGUUUCCUUCCCAAGAGGAGGGUUGCCAUCCAACCUGAUAGACUUUCGUAUCGACAAUUGUGAUCAAUUGGAAGCCCUCCCAGAGGCAUGGACAACCUCAGCUCUCUUCAGACUUUGUUGUUGGUAGAAUGUGGAGGUUUUGCUUCCAUUAUAGAAGAGGGUUUCCCACCCAACCUAAUUAAUCUUCAUAUUUGGACUCCCAAAAGCUGCAAGCCUCUCUCAGAGUGGGGGCUUCACCACUUGGACAGACUCACCUCUCUUAAAGAAUUGUGGAUCGUUGGUGCAGAUCCAGAUCUGGUGUCCUUUCCGCCAAAGGAGGUGCUGCUCCCAAAAUCUCUCAUUAAACUCGCCAUUGCAGACUUCCCAAAUCUGAAGCGCCUGUCAUCAUCUUUUCAAUCACUCUCCUCUCUUGAAUCCCUUAACAUUUGGGAUUGCCCAAAGCUAGCAUCUAUUAUUCCAGAAAAAGAGGAUCAUUUGCCUCUUUCACUUACACAGCUUCGCAUCUAUGACGAGUGUCCGCUGCUCAGAAAGAAAUACCAACCAGGUAAAGGACGACACUGGCCCAAAGAAAUAGCCCACAUCCCAUACGUUUAUUUUGGAGACUGGGAGGACGAAGCCAAAGCCGACCGCGGGCUUUGAAUCAGCAAACUCACAACUUGUUUUUGUUGGAGACCACGGUGAAGAAGCCAAAGCCGACCGCUGGGCAUAGAAAUCAAACUAUAGAGCAGCAAGAAGUACAGGGUUGAGCAAUGGACCAGCUCAAGAGUCUUGAUCCACGCACCCUUCUAAUGCUGGAUUAAGGGCAGCAGCAAGUAAAAGGUGGAGAAAGUUGUUUGCAAUGAGAGCACCUCAAGAAUUUUGUUCUGGGCUUCUAGUUCUGGUUCAAGAUUAUAUCCUCAGAGUGUUGAGAAGGCUUCAUAGACUGAUAAGCUGUUUGCGCUUCUCCAAACAACAUUCAUAAUUUUCAAAAGUAGAAUACUUAACUGUCAUUAAGAUUCAUGACUUUCAGUUCAAUUUCGACAGUGCUUUGAACCAAGCCUGCAUUAUAUAUCAGUAACCUUCAAUGCUUUUUGAGAAUAGCCAACUUUGUCUUUCUGUAUUUGUCACUUUCAUAAAAAAUGAAGUCAAUUUCAAUUAUGUUUUUCAUGGUUGUAAUUUGUUAGCAACAACAAAUUCCGCGGCAAAGCGCGGGCGCCAUUG
RNA transcript from Rosa chinensis, 1281 nucleotides. RefSeq lists it as uncharacterized. The record is from RefSeq and is a predicted model, not a curated record. The transcript is spliced from 5 exons. NCBI's taxonomy places the organism in Eukaryota, Viridiplantae, Streptophyta, Magnoliopsida, Rosales, Rosaceae.